This 101-nucleotide small RNA is filed under the name Pseudomonas sp. RNAcentral's name for it is "Guanidine-I sequence". It matches the Rfam family "Guanidine-I riboswitch aptamer". From Rfam's summary of the family: This family represents a conserved RNA structure found upstream of the ykkC and yxkD genes in Bacillus subtilis and related genes in other bacteria. The function of this family is unclear although it has been suggested that it may function to switch on efflux pumps and detoxification systems in response to harmful environmental molecules. RNAcentral also lists the same sequence under 1 other name. The record is from RNAcentral. Lineage: Bacteria; Pseudomonadati; Pseudomonadota; Gammaproteobacteria; Pseudomonadales; Pseudomonadaceae.
AAAAUGGUUGGCUAGGGUUCCGGCUUGCGAAAGCGAGCGUCAGGUCCGAGAGCUGACGACCUCCAGUUGAGGUUACACGGCGGGAUAAAAGCCCGGGAGAC